Molecule: transfer RNA, 72 nt
Filed under: Dehalococcoidia bacterium
Lineage: Bacteria; Bacillati; Chloroflexota; Dehalococcoidia
Description: tRNA-Lys
Source: RNAcentral
CUGCCGUGGUGGACUGGCGGGGCGGGACUCUUAAUCCGUAGGUUCUCGGUUCGACCCCGAGGCGGGUCACCA